UACGAGGGGGGCGAGCGUUGUUCGGAAUUAUUGGGCGUAAAGGGUGCGUAGGCGGCCUGACAAGUCUGAUGUGAAAUCCCUGGGCUCAACCCAGGGCCUGCAUCGGAAACUGUCGGGCUUGAGUAUGGGAGAGGUGAGUGGAAUUUCCGGUGUAGCGGUGAAAUGCGUAGAUAUCAGGAGGAACACCAAUGGCGAAGGCAGCUCGCUGGGACGGUACUGACGCUGAGACGCGAAAGCGUGGGGAGCAAACAGG
RNAcentral lists this ribosomal RNA (253 nucleotides) under uncultured bacterium. RNAcentral describes it as "partial 16S ribosomal RNA". It matches the Rfam family "Bacterial small subunit ribosomal RNA", at positions 524 to 776 of the family's 1533-position model. The record is from RNAcentral.